Molecule: long non-coding RNA, 1741 nt
Organism: Fukomys damarensis (Damara mole-rat)
Lineage: Eukaryota; Metazoa; Chordata; Mammalia; Rodentia; Bathyergidae
Source: Ensembl
AUGAAUAAAGGCAUUGGUGCAGGUGUGGAGCAUGGCUGGACUGGCAUAAGCACAUAUGAGGGGUUCCUGGAGAUGUGUUGUGCAGAGCCAGCAGGGUAUGCAAAAAUGUGCCCCACUGCUACCGCUGUUCUUGAUCUUGGCUGUGAUCUGAUUUCUUCACGCGACAAGGCAGAAUAUAAAGAUGAGGAACCUCAUCCUGUUGACACACAGAGCCAGAUAAAGCCCUCCAGAGAAACGUACAAGGCACCAGCCAAAAUUUCUGAGUCACUCUGAUGCACUCUUUUUAGAUGACCUAGAGUAAACUUUGCUUAUUACAAUGCUAAGUCUCUUCCCAGAGGCAUUCUCAUCUGCCACUUUUUAAAACUGGUAAUGUAUGACCUUGAAUGCAGUUUGCUCAGAAGUAUAUGAUGUAUGUAUGUAUGAUGACAAAUCUUUCCUACAUAAAUAUGUACAUUGUUUCCUCAAUGAAAUCUUAGUUUCUUUGGCUAGGAGUACUGCUUUGAGUUUUAUCUUUAAUGUUCCUCCUGUAGCUAAUAAACCUUUUAUUGCUCUUUUAUCUCCUGGUUGUGCUUUUUGACUUUGCACUCACUAUUAUUAAACUUUCACUUUCAUUUCCACCUGUACUUCUGUCACUACUCCAUGGCCUUUAUCACUUUUGCCAUCCCCACCGGCGUGCCCACCGUCACCUUUACCACCAUCACACCUGCCUUCACCUUUGCCAUUGCCACAACCAUACUGCCAACAUCACUGAAAAAAAUGGACUGCAGUGCAACUUUUGUAUAUUAAGAAGUUAUUUUUUCUAAAAGAGAGAAUGCACACUUGCAAUAAAAGACCUGUUUUACAUCACUUAACAGAACAUUUCACAUCUCCCCUGGAGGCAUUUGCAUGUAGGUUAUUUCACUGACUUUGAACAUGCUAAAAUAAUUCCUUAUUUCCACAAAAAUAAAUGCUGUCCAAAGUGGUUCUUAUCAGAACAAAAGAAAAAUUUGACUAAGACGAAUGUUGAGUUUCUAGAGUGUAGAAGUUAGAAUUCUUUACUCUGAUGUAUGUAUUUGGCUCCUUUGUUGAAGACCAAAUAGCUGAAUGUGUGUAGGGAUAGAUAUUCUGUAUCCUCUAUUCUGUUCUAUCGAUCCACAUAUUGUUUUUCUGCCAGUACCAUGCCAUUUUGUCACUGCUGCUUUGUAGUAUGACUUGAAGUCAGGUAUUAUGAUGCCCCCUGCUUUGCUCUUGUUGCCUAGGAUUGCUGGGCUAUUCUGGGUCUCUUCCAGCCUGUUAAUGGUGUAGGGGAAAUUGGCUUUUUGCAGAAGAUUGAAGAUCCCUCUCUCUUACCAUUCACUAAACUAAAAAUGGACCAAAAAUACAAACAUUGAAACAGGAACAACGAACCUACUGGAAGAUAAAAUGGAUAAAAUACUUGAGGUCAUACGUACAGGCAUGGACUUUCAGAACUAUAGUUGCAGAAGAAAUUACAACAAGAAUCAAAACAAAUGGGAUUUAAAAGCUUCUGCACAGCAAAGGAAACAAUUAGUAAAGAGACAACCUACAGAAUGGGAAACAGUUUUGGCUAACUAUUCCUCAGAUGGAGGAGUAUCUAGAAGGUAUAUCUGGAAUAUAUAAAUCUAGAAUAUCUGGAAUAGAUAAAGAACUCCAGAAAUUAGCACCCCCAAAAUAAAAGACCCAAUCAAGGAAAAGGCAAGUCAGAGGGAACAGAUACUUCUCAGAUGAAGUACAAAUGGCCAAC